AUCGGACGCAGUACCAGCAGCGAACAGUUCUGGUUCCAACAAAACGAUCGAGUUGAUAGAGCAUUCGAUUUGGGACACGGCGCCAUUGAAUGCGGUACCUUGUCCUGACGGUGAACAGUUUAAGGAUGGCCGCUGUCGCAAGCUGUUGAAGUUAGCAUCGUACCAGGCUUGCAAUAAACCAGAGGAAUGUCAUUCAUGCAGCUGAGUACGAUGUUUGCUGUAACUUUUCUGGUAGCCAUUGGCCAUACAUCGUCCCUUCCAAACCGCCCUACUGCGUCACACGGGAAUGCCGAAAAUGUAGCUGAUGGACCGGUGAUGGUGAUCGAACCGCGUGCUUUAUUUGCUGGACCGACGCCGUCCGAGUUUGACUGCCUGAUCAGGUGUCGAGAAAGUCAACGGUGUGUCGAUGGGCGCUGCCGGAAAGUGUUUCCCAGUUCUCGUCAGCAACGGGUUUGAGGAAAACGUGUAAAUUAGAUUAAAUAUAUGCAGCUUUUGGUUUCAAUUU
This is a long non-coding RNA of Topomyia yanbarensis, 505 nucleotides long. RefSeq lists it as uncharacterized. The transcript has 2 exons. The record is from RefSeq and is a predicted model, not a curated record. Lineage: Eukaryota; Metazoa; Arthropoda; Insecta; Diptera; Culicidae.